RNAcentral lists this unclassified non-coding RNA (332 nucleotides) under uncultured fungus. RNAcentral describes it as "sequence contains ITS1, 5.8S rRNA gene". The stretch from base 284 to 332 matches the Rfam family "5.8S ribosomal RNA", at positions 1 to 49 of the family's 154-position model. The record is from RNAcentral. Lineage: Eukaryota; Fungi.
UUUCCGUAGGUGAACCUGCGGAAGGAUCAUUACCGAGUUAGGGUUGCCUUCUAGGUGCCCGACCUCCCAACCCCGUGUCUAAUAAACCUGUACGUGUUGCUUCGGCGGACCGGUUCGCUGCGUGGUCUCGCGACCACAACGCUUGCCGCCGGGGGUAAAGGAGUUCACCCUCCCCCCCCCCUGGAGAGCGUCCGUCGAUGGCCCAACCAAACAAACUCCCAAACCAAAAUGUAUGUGAAACACAAUUCUGAAUCAGACCUUUUGAUAUACCAAUCAAAAACAAAACUUUCAACAACGGAUCUCUUGGUUCUGGCAUCGAUGAAGAACGCAGC